UCGAACGCGAAAAGGGCUUCGGCUCUUAGUAGAGUGGCGAACGGGUGAGUAACACGUGGGUGACCUACCUUCGAAUGGGGGAUAACGUCCCGAAAGGGACGCUAAUACCGCAUAACAUCCUGCCUUUGAACAGGUGGAGAUCAAAGCCGGGGAUCGCAAGACCUGGCGUUUGAAGAGGGGCCCGCGUCUGAUUAGCUAGUUGGUGAGGUAACGGCCCACCAAGGCGACGAUCAGUAUCCGGCCUGAGAGGGCGGACGGACACACUGGGACUGAGACACGGCCCAGACUCCUACGGGAGGCAGCAGUGGGGAAUUGAUCGCAAUGGGCGCAAGCCUGACGACGCAACGCCGCGUGGAGGAUGAAGGUCUUCGGAUUGUAAACUCCUGUUGCCCGGGACGAAAAGCUUCGACCUAACACGUCGAAGUCUGACGGUACCGGGUGAGGAAGCCCCGGCUAACUCUGUGCCAGCAGCCGCGGUAAUACAGAGGGGGCAAGCGUUGUUCGGAAUUACUGGGCGUAAAGGGCGCGUAGGCGGCCCGCUAAGUCGAACGUGAAAUCCCCGGGCUCAACCCGGGAACUGCGUCCGAUACUGGCAGGCUUGAAUCCGGGAGAGGGAUGCGGAAUUCCAGGUGUAGCGGUGAAAUGCGUAGAUAUCUGGAGGAACACCGGUGGCGAAGGCGGCAUCCUGGACCGGCAUUGACGCUGAGGCGCGAAAGCCAGGG
RNAcentral lists this ribosomal RNA (722 nucleotides) under uncultured bacterium. RNAcentral's name for it is "bacterial SSU rRNA". It matches the Rfam family "Bacterial small subunit ribosomal RNA", at positions 62 to 765 of the family's 1533-position model. The record is from RNAcentral.